Molecule: ribosomal RNA, 2925 nt
Filed under: Escherichia coli
Lineage: Bacteria; Pseudomonadati; Pseudomonadota; Gammaproteobacteria; Enterobacterales; Enterobacteriaceae
Description: 23S ribosomal RNA
Rfam family: Bacterial large subunit ribosomal RNA
Source: RNAcentral
GGGUUGUGAGGUUAAGCGACUAAGCGUACACGGUGGAUGCCCUGGCAGUCAGAGGCGAUGAAGGACGUGCUAAUCUGCGAUAAGCGUCGGUGAGGUGAUAUGAACCGUUAUAACCGGCGAUUUCCGAAUGGGGAAACCCAGUGUGUUUCGACACACUAUCAUUAACUGAAUCCAUAGGUUAAUGAGGCGAACCGGGGGAACUGAAACAUCUAAGUACCCCGAGGAAAAGAAAUCAACCGAGAUUCCCCCAGUAGCGGCGAGCGAACGGGGAGGAGCCCAGAGCCUGAAUCAGUGUGUGUGUUAGUGGAAGUGUCUGGAAAGGCGCGCGAUACAGGGUGACAGCCCCGUACACAAAAAUGCACAUACUGUGAGCUCGAUGAGUAGGGCGGGACACGUGGUAUCCUGUCUGAAUAUGGGGGGACCAUCCUCCAAGGCUAAAUACUCCUGACUGACCGAUAGUGAACCAGUACCGUGAGGGAAAGGCGAAAAGAACCCCGGCGAGGGGAGUGAAAAAGAACCUGAAACCGUGUACGUACAAGCAGUGGGAGCCUCUUAAUGGGGUGACUGCGUACCUUUUGUAUAAUGGGUCAGCGACUUAUAUUCUGUAGCAAGGUUAACCGAAUAGGGGAGCCGAAGGGAAACCGAGUCUUAACUGGGCGUUAAGUUGCAGGGUAUAGACCCGAAACCCGGUGAUCUAGCCAUGGGCAGGUUGAAGGUUGGGUAACACUAACUGGAGGACCGAACCGACUAAUGUUGAAAAAUUAGCGGAUGACUUGUGGCUGGGGGUGAAAGGCCAAUCAAACCGGGAGAUAGCUGGUUCUCCCCGAAAGCUAUUUAGGUAGCGCCUCGUGAAUUCAUCUCCGGGGGUAGAGCACUGUUUCGGCAAGGGGGUCAUCCCGACUUACCAACCCGAUGCAAACUGCGAAUACCGGAGAAUGUUAUCACGGGAGACACACGGCGGGUGCUAACGUCCGUCGUGAAGAGGGAAACAACCCAGACCGCCAGCUAAGGUCCCAAAGUCAUGGUUAAGUGGGAAACGAUGUGGGAAGGCCCAGACAGCCAGGAUGUUGGCUUAGAAGCAGCCAUCAUUUAAAGAAAGCGUAAUAGCUCACUGGUCGAGUCGGCCUGCGCGGAAGAUGUAACGGGGCUAAACCAUGCACCGAAGCUGCGGCAGCGACACUAUGUGUUGUUGGGUAGGGGAGCGUUCUGUAAGCCUGUGAAGGUGUACUGUGAGGUAUGCUGGAGGUAUCAGAAGUGCGAAUGCUGACAUAAGUAACGAUAAAGCGGGUGAAAAGCCCGCUCGCCGGAAGACCAAGGGUUCCUGUCCAACGUUAAUCGGGGCAGGGUGAGUCGACCCCUAAGGCGAGGCCGAAAGGCGUAGUCGAUGGGAAACAGGUUAAUAUUCCUGUACUUGGUGUUACUGCGAAGGGGGGACGGAGAAGGCUAUGUUGGCCGGGCGACGGUUGUCCCGGUUUAAGCGUGUAGGCUGGUUUUCCAGGCAAAUCCGGAAAAUCAAGGCUGAGGCGUGAUGACGAGGCACUACGGUGCUGAAGCGACAAAUGCCCUGCUUCCAGGAAAAGCCUCUAAGCAUCAGGUAACAUUAAAUCGUACCCCAAACCGACACAGGUGGUCAGGUAGAGAAUACCAAGGCGCUUGAGAGAACUCGGGUGAAGGAACUAGGCAAAAUGGUGCCGUAACUUCGGGAGAAGGCACGCUGAUAUGUAGGUGAAGCGACUUGCUCGUGGAGCUGAAAUCAGUCGAAGAUACCAGCUGGCUGCAACUGUUUAUUAAAAACACAGCACUGUGCAAACACGAAAGUGGACGUAUACGGUGUGACGCCUGCCCGGUGCCGGAAGGUUAAUUGAUGGGGUUAGCGGUAACGCGAAGCUCUUGAUCGAAGCCCCGGUAAACGGCGGCCGUAACUAUAACGGUCCUAAGGUAGCGAAAUUCCUUGUCGGGUAAGUUCCGACCUGCACGAAUGGCGUAAUGAUGGCCAGGCUGUCUCCACCCGAGACUCAGUGAAAUUGAACUCGCUGUGAAGAUGCAGUGUACCCGCGGCAAGACGGAAAGACCCCGUGAACCUUUACUAUAGCUUGACACUGAACAUUGAGCCUUGAUGUGUAGGAUAGGUGGGAGGCUUUGAAGUGUGGACGCCAGUCUGCAUGGAGCCGACCUUGAAAUACCACCCUUUAAUGUUUGAUGUUCUAACGUGGGCCCCUUACCGGGGUUGCGGACAGUGUCUGGUGGGUAGUUUGACUGGGGCGGUCUCCUCCUAAAGAGUAACGGAGGAGCACGAAGGUUGGCUAAUCCUGGUCGGACAUCAGGAGGUUAGUGCAAUGGCAUAAGCCAGCUUGACUGCGAGCGUGACGGCGCGAGCAGGUGCGAAAGCAGGUCAUAGUGAUCCGGUGGUUCUGAAUGGAAGGGCCAUCGCUCAACGGAUAAAAGGUACUCCGGGGAUAACAGGCUGAUACCGCCCAAGAGUUCAUAUCGACGGCGGUGUUUGGCACCUCGAUGUCGGCUCAUCACAUCCUGGGGCUGAAGUAGGUCCCAAGGGUAUGGCUGUUCGCCAUUUAAAGUGGUACGCGAGCUGGGUUUAGAACGUCGUGAGACAGUUCGGUCCCUAUCUGCCGUGGGCGCUGGAGAACUGAGGGGGGCUGCUCCUAGUACGAGAGGACCGGAGUGGACGCAUCACUGGUGUUCGGGUUGUCAUGCCAAUGGCACUGCCCGGUAGCUAAAUGCGGAAGAGAUAAGUGCUGAAAGCAUCUAAGCACGAAACUUGCCCCGAGAUGAGUUCUCCCUGACUCCUUGAGAGUCCUGAAGGAACGUUGAAGACGACGACGUUGAUAGGCCGGGUGUGUAAGCGCAGCGAUGCGUUGAGCUAACCGGUACUAAUGAACCGUGAGGCUUAACCUUACAACGCCGAAG